Molecule: long non-coding RNA, 10760 nt
Filed under: Linum usitatissimum (flax)
Lineage: Eukaryota; Viridiplantae; Streptophyta; Magnoliopsida; Malpighiales; Linaceae
Description: long non-coding RNA (LUSI_LNC006165)
Source: RNAcentral
UAAGAUGAUAACUAUCAAUGACGACGAUGAUGACAAAGGAGAGGUCCUAGUAGUGUUCUUGCGCCCGCCCUUGGAAGAUGAAUAAGCCCAAGAGCUUGUAUAUAUAGUGUUUGUACUGCCAAUGAAUGUAUUUCCUGGUUAUUCUGCGGUGUCGAAAGAACAACUAGCGGACUGGUCAGCUAAUAACGAGUAGGAGAGAACUCUUUUAUCUGCCAUGGUAGUGUGUCUUUUCUUGUUUGCUUCUUGAUGUCGGACAGCGGAGCUCGUCGGUUAAUGUUCACUGGUCAUUUUGCAGUUGGUGCUGGCAAAUGAUUGAUGCUUUUAGUGAGUUCUUCAGCUUUACUGUCGUGUUCAAGUUCGCACUAUUUUACUUACGGUUUACAAACGAGACGGCAAAUCCCUAGCAACUAUGCAUACAAUUAUUGGCAAGGCCAUGAAAACUAUGCAUACAAUUAUUGGCAAGGCCAUGAAAAGCAGGGAUUGCGAAGCUUAUCCACAAGGGCAGGGCAAUCAGAUUUCACUAUCGUUGCUGAGGUCCGUGUUGGUUGCAUAGCUCAGAGCCGCCACCAAGAGGGCCCUAAAUUGGGCAAUGAGUUAAGUCUUCAACAUCAUUAUGUCAUAGCGGGCAAGAAAGCCACCGGACAUGACGUCUUCAUCUCGAGAUGAAGAUUAAGGAGUCGUCUGAAUUUGGAAAUUGGGGUCCAAUCCUCAGAGCUCUUGGAAUAUGUCUGAAUUGAAAUUCAAAAUACACUAGGAAUUGAAAACUCUUGGAAAAUGGAAAUCGAGAUUCCUAGACUUGAGACUGGAUAUUGAAAAUUUAUUCCAAGAAGUAUUGAAGUAUCCUCCUCAACCAAUUCAUUUAAGCUUCACCAUGUCCGGAUUGACCCUCCACCACUACCAGACGUCUGCUCCACCGUACUCUCCUGUAGUCGUCAUCGAACUCUUGCCGGGCGUCACCAGACUUUUGACAACACCAUAAGACUCUAGCGAAGCUGUCAAACUCACGUCGAAGUAGUAGACUUCCACUCCGUUUCCAGACUAUGCCAAUGUCGCCAAGCUUCUACUACCACUGAUAGACGUUCACUCUGCCGUACUUUCAUCAUGGAACUCCAGACUUCCUCCAACGCUGGACUUCAGUCAAUGCUGCCAGAUUUUCCCCAAAACCGCUAGACUUCUGUUAUCAUUUCCGAACUUUCGUUGAUAUUGCCAAACUGUUACAUCCACGAAUGGACCUCUGCCAUGUUGGAGGACCACCAUACUUCCGCCACCUUCACCAAAAACUUCCGUUAUCAUUUCCGAACUUUCUUUGAUGUUGCCAAACUGUUCGCCAAACUUACGUAGCUGAUAAUUGGAUUUUUCGAUGAUGUGGCCUGAAUUCUAUCGACGUGCCUCGACAUUUGCUCCCAUUUUGCCAAACUUCCACCAUUUUCGUUCGACUUUCGUCGCCAUUGCCAAGCUUCAACCACCGCCAACAAACUGUAUCAAUGCCGUGGUUGAAUUUUUGUCGCCAUCACACAUUUGACUACAGUCCACAGCUACUGAUAUACUUCCUAUACCACCGUCCUUUCACUGAUGUCACCAAACUUCCGCCGCACCACCUAACCACCACCCCACCAUACUUUUGCCCCUGUCAUUGGACUUCCACCGCCGCUAUCAAACCUCCGCCCCAACACCUUAUUACUUACCAGUUACCACCAAAUUACUUGCCAAAUACGGACUUUUUAAUAACUCAAUUUUCGCUGAUAUUUUCCUAAUUCUCGGUUCCUGCAUCGAGACACGGCCCUGCGAUUUCUAGCUAAGAGACCUUCCACAAACAUUUCAAAGAAUCUCCUGGUAGUUUAGAACCGCCUCCGGUCAAGGGGUUGAGAGAUAGAGGAUGACUUGACAGAGAACUUCCACGGGCAAGGUUCUUUUGGGCUGCAAGACACAGAGCCUCCCGAGGAUCACAAAAGACUAGAGCUGCAGAGAUCUGCUACGCUAGACAGAGUUCAUGACAUGUUAAAUUAAAAACAUUCACUUUUAAAUCCAGGCAAGUCCCCAACAACAGUAAACGGGAAAGAGAAGAAAGAAAACCAUAGCGCCAUUCAAAAUGAAUACCUACCCACACACUCCCGUGUUUCCCUAUCCCCAAAAUCCCAAUUCACAAAUUCUCUCGCCAUAUCUUCACCCCCAAUUGUAGUAGUCUAUAACCUAUCAACACGUUACCAAAACUAACACUAGCAGCACAGCAUGAACAUAGUAGCAUCGUCAUUUUUCUCCAAGCCACAGCAUUUUAUAGACACAAAAAUAUACCCAAUAGUGAGGAGACAUCUCAUUCGCUAAUGACACUUCUUAUGAAGACCCCAAGCAUUUCUGUAGGCGGUUGCAUCAAACAUUAAGGACCGGUUUUAGCACGCUUCAUUCCGAUUAUGUUUGAGUUUGACGUGAAAGGGGAGACGCUGCCGCUUGGUCCGGGGCUUUCCUCUCUGUAAUUGGAGUUGAGCAGCGCUAGUUCCUUUAGUUGUUGCCUCUUAUACAGAUCGUGUGACUCUUCCUGCAACAUUCAACGAAUGGAAAAGAAUCCGAGCUGAAAUGGCUAUGUGGGACUCUCCACUUUGCAAGUGAUACUUGUAAUCUGUCUGUCAAGAAAAUUGAGAAGGCUAGUAUUCUAUACCACAGGUCUAAGCACUUCUUCUAUGAUCUCUGUGGCUUGUCUCAAUCGCAGGUCCACGAUAUUAGCAGGCAAUUCAGCUUCAAUUAUAAGGUGCAGAGGCUCGUUCAAAUGCUCAUACCCUGGUCUGCCCCUCAAGGAGUCCUCCUGUAAUAUGUGAGAAAACCGAAAAGUUGAAUAUAACCCAAUGUCCAUCGGCUUACAAAAUGUGGGGUUAUUAUAUACUAGAGAGGUGGAUCAUGGAUGAAUAUUUGCUUAUCAUCUUGUUUAUCUAUAAAACUCAAAAACCAACUUCAAAAUGUUCUUACCUUCUCAGGGUCCUUUAUCGAGCCGUUCCCUCUGAUGAAGACACGACAACCAGUUGAGAGUUCCACACGCUUUAGUGAGUUUCCUCUGGGUCCAAGGAGUCGACCCACAAAAUUGAACUGACAUGUUCAGCAACAAAAGGAUAUCAUUAAACUAAAUUCUAACAGACUCAAGCAUAUGUAAAUAUGUAAUACAGUUGCAAUUUAAGAUAGGAUAGCUUACAUUGGGGUAGCUAUCCACCGGAAUAUCUAGACGCAAUAUCUUCUUCACAACGUGAGAAUUCGGACUUGCUGGUGCACGCCAGUCCAUAUUCAUUCCGUCUGUCCCAAACCGCUGUCAUAUGACGAGUUCAAUGACAUAUCAUAGCAAUGGCCAAUGAGACAUCCCAUUUUCGAAAAAAUCAAAUGAUGAACUAAUGAAGUAUUCAAAUGGCGGGGAACUUGAUGCAAUACCACUCAAUUUGUGCAGCAGUUUCCAGGAGGAGUAACGAUACUCAAAUGAACAAGUGAAGAACAUUUUCUUACCUGGCGAGGCAGAGAAUUCCAAGAUGGUUCGUCAUUACGGUGGGGGCUAACGGAUGGGCGCUGCUGAGGUGUUGAUCCAAAGAAGCUGAACCCUUGGUGCUGGCUAGGGGCAAUUCCAGAAACCCUCAAUAUCUCUACUUACAUAGAAACAAGAAAAACUAUCACUUAAACAAAAAAUUCAAAUAAUCAUAGGCAAAUAGCAUAAUCAUUAUAAACAUUGAUUUGGAAGCGAGAACUGAACAUAGAUAAGAAGAAAAAGAAGCAAAAUGAGACCUUGAUUGAGAAUGCGAGUGACGAUGGGAAGGACCUCAGUGAAAGGACCGAGAUUGUUGUACUCUUCCAACAGCUCCGCCAGAUAUUGCCGCUGCUGAACACUGCUUGCAAAAAAAGAACAGUUCCAGAUCAAUCAGAUGUGACACCACUAGUAAUUCAAAUAGAAACGAAGCUAAGAGAUAGUACCUCAUGAUGUUAUCCAGAUUCGGAGGGAGAUGAUUUUGGUGAUAAGGAUGAUGACGGUGAGGUGAGACUGCGGCGGAGGACGGUGGUGGAGUUGCAGUAGCGGGCGAGAAAUUGCGAGCGUACAAGCCAGACAUGAUUGUUACCUAUUGAAGAAGCGGAAUUAAGAUGGGGGAGUCGAAAUCUACGUGCGGCGGACAGAGAUGACUACGGAGCUGUGUGUGAAAGAAGACAGGGACGCGGCAAUGGAAGGCGCGUGUUAGCUUUUGCCUGUGCUUCUUUUCUAUUCUACCACUAUACUUCUGUUAUCUUACAUAUUGCACCCUAUAAAUUUUGUAUGCAUAAAAUUAAGGCUUACAAGUUAUAAAUCUAAACAAACAUGCACCAUCACCUAUUGGUUUAUUACAAAUCUAUACACCACCUUUUUGACAUGAAACAACGUUAACGAACGUCACACUCUUUUAAAAAUGUAAAAAUUGCUCUAUUCAAAUUUACGAAUUUUAGAAGCGUUGAUUAAAUAUAGUAGAUCCGACGGUUCAAAUUAUUUAAUAAGCAAGGUGAGAAAUUAGAAUCCAACAGAAUACACAAGAAUUAGGAGAGAAUUAGUAAACUAAUUUCUUCUAGAAACUAGUAAUUAAGCGGAACUCACAAAUCCAAUGAAUCAUCUACCUGAUUUGAUUAGCAUUUCUUUCUUCUUUUAGUUUCCUUAUUGUUUCUUAUUUGGACGUCACCCACAGCCUUUUUCUCGCGAGCAUGUAAAAAAAUUUGCUGAAAUAGUACCAUAUAAACUGACCCCCACUCAUCACUUUUGGUGAUUCAUAACAGAGACAGAGAGAUACUUGGAGAUGGGGAAAGAGUACUGUGUAACGGGGGGAACUGGGUUCAUAGCGGCUUACUUGGUCAAGGCUCUGCUUCUCGAUGGCCACGUCGUCAGGGCCACUGUCCGCGACCCAGGUACUUGGUACCCUCCAGUACUCGUAUUCAUGAUUUCAUGUGGUGUAAAUAGUCUGUCAAUCCAAACUUACAGUAAGUAGUUUUGGGUUUGUGAAGGGGACAUGGAGAAAGUUGGGUUUCUGUUGAAAUUCAAGGGAGCCAAAGAGAGGCUGAAGCUUGUGAAAGCUGAUUUGUUGGUUCCUGCAAGUUUUGAUGACGCUGUUCGAGGAGUGGAUGGUGUUUUCCACACUGCUUCCCCUGUUCUCGUCCCUUAUGAUCAUAACAUUCAGGCAAGUAACUACUUAAUACUUAGUUUAUGAUCCCAUGUUCAUAUAUAUAAACAUCCUACUUUUAAUGGUGUUUCCAAAGACAUUUGUAGGAUUUGACUGAUACAAUCGAUUUCACUGGUUGAUAAUUCAAAAAUCUCAUUGAUUCGAUCGUUGCGAAAACCUCUCAAAGGAUCCAUCAAAUGGUUGUGUCGUAACAGGCAACUCUGAUAGAUCCAUGCAUAAAGGGAACGCUGAACGUGCUGAACUCCUGCUCAAAAUCCAAAACCGUGAAGCGCGUAGUUCUCACUUCCUCGUGCUCUUCCAUCCGUUACCGUUACGAUUCGCACCAAGUCUCCCCUCUCAACGAGUCUCACUGGAGCGACCUCGACUACUGCAAAUCUUACAAUGUAAGGAGGGUUACUAAACGACGCCCUGAUUUUCGAAUUAAACGACGUCCUGGUUUUCGAAUUAAACGACGUUCUACAUGCAUAAUGACCUAAACGUCCAUUCCAUAAAAAUGAAAAACAUGAAAAACUUACUAGUUCAAUCCAAAAAACUCUUAUUUAGUAUGUUUUAGUUGGUCGAAAACACUCUCGACGAACCACGGCUUAAAAUUGGAAAGGUACGAAAUUGAAUUUUGGAUAUGGAAAAAAAAAUCGGACAGAACGCCGGUCCGUUCGAUUUUUUUUUAAAAUUAAAUUUUUUAUUCAAACGGACUGCGGCGCCGUCCGUCUGGGUCAAAAAUAAAAAAUAAAAAAUUUACACGCAUUAUUGAGGGUUACCUGAUCUGAAAGUCGUCAAUCUUCAAGCUCAGAACUUCAAUUUCUCGUCGAAUCUUCGAGUUAGGAACUUCAACUUCUGCCGAAACUUUGAGCUUUUGUGUUUUAGAUUGAAUGUGUUUGUCGAAGAUUGAACUUCUUAUAAAUUUUCACUGUUUACGGAAGGAUAAUUUAGUAAUUCACUAUUUUAGAACGUCGUUUAAUUCGAAAACUAGGGCGUCGUUUAGGGAUUCAAAUCUACUCAUUAGCUAGCUCCCUUUCAAACCAACUUAUAUGUUUACAAAAUCUCCACAUGCUGCUGCAGUUGUGGUACGCAUUCGCGAAGACAAGUGCUGAGAAAGAAGCAUGGAUGAUGGCUCAAGAGCAAGGAAUCGAUCUGGUGGUUGUGAACCCCUCCUUCGUGGUGGGCCCGCUCCUUGGUCCGCAACCCACGAGCACCCUCCUCCUCAUUCUCGCCAUCGUCAAAGGUCUCAAAGGCGAAAUUCCAAACACGGCAUUGGGGUUUGUUCACAUUGAGGAUGUGAUAGCUACCCAUGUCCUGGCUAUGGAGGACAGCAGAGCUUCAGGGAGGUUGGUGUGUUCCAGCUCCGUGGCUCAUUGGUCCCAAAUCAUUCACAUGCUCAAGGCCAAAUACCCUUACUACCCUUAUGAAACCAAGUACGUGACAUCUAUAUAUUUGCUAGUGACAAUAUCAAUAAGGUGUAUUUCGAUUUGAGUUAUGAAGAUUGAAUUGAAAUUGUUUGCGUGGGGCAGGUUGUCGAGCAUGAAAGGGGAUAGCAACGCGCACAGUAUGGACACGAGCAAGAUUGCGAAGCUGGGGUUGCCGCCAUUCAGAAGCUUGGAGGAGAUGUUUGAUGACUGCAUCAAGAGUUUCCAGGAGAAAGGGUUUCUACAUGCCCCAGCUGCUGCCAUUUUAUACUAGCUUUCAUCUUCCCUUCCUUGUUUGAGUUUCCCAGUCUCAUCUCAUCCCAUGUUUGUAUGGCAUCGGUUGGGUAAUGCCUAACAUCACAGUUUAAUUCGUGGAUGCAAAACAUUGAAUAAUUUAUGUUGCGAAUCUUUACCCCUCCCUUGGGCUGGAAUUACACGAGUUAGGCUCUUGUUUCUUCUUACAGAAUUUUAUCCUCCUCACACUUACUCAUUCACAUAGUGGUGUUUGAAACCUCAGUGCUGGACCAACGCAUCAACUUGGUGCAUAUUGUUAGUUAACAAUGCAAAAAGAAACUGUCAACAGAUGAAUACAAUUCAAUGAAAUAAAUAGCGGAGAACCUUUUUUUUAAAGGCAAAAAUUGCAGAGAACUAAACAACUGAAACUUGAUGUAUGAACAAAGUUGUGAUCGUGAAACUGAAUUCACUGCCUUUGAAGCUAUUUCAGUCUCUACCGAAGCUUCUGAAGGUAAUCACAGAGAUUGGAACUAUAAUGAAUCAGCAAUGGAAUAUAUUCCUUCUCUCAAGCAAUCACGCUACUGCUGUGUUUUUAAUUUGUUAUCUACCAUUUCUCCCCUAGGGUCAUGAUCUCAUGAGAAGAGGAUCCCACCAAUACUGCGAAGCUGGGGAAUCAAUUGCUGGAUUGGUGGAGAGUUUGUUAGUUCUCUUCCACACACUAACGUCCGGAUUUCUAACUCAUCAGUUUAGUUAGUGGGCUUCGACCCGAUCCGUUCGGCUGCUCAACCGAGAAUGAGGAAACGUAGCGAUACAAUCGUGGGUAUUGCGAGUGGGAUCUUGUAUCUCCAUGAGGAAAUCAGGUAAUAUUCUACUGGAUGUUGAGCAGAAAUUUUGGGAUGACUAGAAUAUUUACUUGUAGGGGUGGGAGUCCGGAUGGACAGCCUGAAAGGGGUUGUUUGCUCCCAACAAACAAAUCUCGUCAGUUGUUCUUUAAUUUUAAUCCAACGGUUGUUAAUUUGGUAGGGGCAAUUUAGUUUAUAAGUAAAUUAAAAUCUAAAAUACAAAAUUAAAAACCUAAUACUUUAUACCUUAAAUUUUAAAAUUCAAAAACUCAAACUUUAAAAUCUAAAAUUAACAACCAAUACUUUAGACCCUAAACUUCAAAAUCCAACAUUAAAAACCCAUACUUUGGACCGUAAACCUCAAAAUUCAAAAAUUCAAAAUCUAAAAUCCAAAAUUGAAAACUCAAUACACAAGAGCCUAAAUCUUAAAAUUCAAAAUUCAAAAUUGAAACUCAAAAUUCAAAAUCCAAAAUUGAAAAUCCAAAAUUAAAAUAUAAAUAAAACCAUUAAUAAUAAUUAAAUAAAUAAAAAUGCCUGAAAAGAAAAAAAAUAUAAAAUAACAGACACACCCCUAAUUUAAGUUAUGAUAUCACCCGUUAAAUCUAAUACCUAUAAUAGACGACCAGGAUUUUUUUUUGUUGCCGGCAUAUAAAUUAUUUUUCCUACGGAAGGCUCUUUUCAGUUUGGACUUUGAACUUUGGGCCCAGUUAGCCAUAAUGGGCGGGUAGCAGCUGGCUCGGCCCAAACGCACUAUGGUUUUUGAGACACGUGGCGGGAGAUGCCAGGAGACACGUGGCGGUAGAUGCCAGGACUUAACGCCUAAAAAGCUGGGGAGGAUAAAAAUGGCGGGAAGGAGGCAGACGGGGCAUCCACGUAGGUGUAAGUUGGCGGGAAAUGGGGAAAGGAGCAGAGUGAGUCGUCCACUAAUCCUUAUCUACCGUAACCCACUUGGCCACCUUUCCCGGCUGAGUCGUACAGAGAAAAACACAUGCCGGCGGUCCGGUCCCUUUUUCUUUUUUUGGUGAAAGUUGCAAGAACAGAACACAGUAUGACACGCGUUAAUUACUAACCGGGGCCUGUUCUUCCUUCCUUAACCUGGUCACGUGACUUUGUCGUGGAACCAAUUCCUUUAUUUUUUUCAUUUAUAAACGCAAAUAAUUAAUAAUUAUGGCGGUCACAUGACUUGGGUGCUCAGCUGAGUUGAUAAAUGUACAUCAUGUAAAUAAUAGUUGGUAAGAAAGUAUUAAUCUCUGCAUGGGUUAUGCAGGCAAGCUGACAGAAUGGUGGUGGUGUGAUACUACUCUUCAUUCUAUUUGGGUUGAUAUCCUUGACUUCUUUCUUUCAUAAUGCGACUACCCGCAUGACUUUGUUGACCGUUGGGGUGCCAGAUUGCCUCGGACUCGCCUCCGUACAGGUGAGUGAAUUGGUAAAACAUUCAAGUAGGGGAAGGUCGUUUUGGGAAGAGGACACUUCAGUGGCAUCACUUGUAAAUAUAACAAUAUUUUCCGUAUGAAAGCAACAACAGCAUCCAGUGAAUGUGUGGUUAUGGACCGGACAUAGUCCGUUGUGGAAAAGACACUCCAACUAAUAAUACCUACUCGCGGCGCAGCGUCAAAGAAAUGGGCCGCCAACCUCAAACCCCUCAAGAACUAAACUACUUCACGCGCACUCAAGGGUAGUAGAUCUGACGCGCAUCAAUUCGAACCCGGUGUGUACCACGCGAAUACUGAGGCGCGGGUUGAAUACUCUGGGCAUUUGUUUGAUCGUGGGUAACAGGCCCACAAUCUUGUUGCAAAGAAACGGAGCAAUGUGGACUAGUAGUCGGGAUUUUCUUGAAGUAUCGUUACGGCGUUACACCCGGCGCUACGGCUUGGUUGGCACAAAUAUAAUUUCUGAGUAUUUUUCUGAUCGAAUGAUAAAAUAUUUUAGAUGGCAAAAUUCCAUAUUGUUAUUCAAAUUUCGUUCAACUUUUCUGCUAAGCUAAGUCGGCGAGAUCACAAAACCCCUUUUCUCUUAAUUUUGUGUCGGGAUUGAUUUGCUAUUUUUCGCCUCUCAAUUUUCCUCACAUCCAUCCCCACUCUUUGCCUUUCUAAACUCUAACCCUUUUCUUUUAUCUUUCUCCUCUCUACUAGAACAGGUUGAUUUGUUAGUUUAGAUUGAUGCGUUAUUUAUAUUUUUUUUCGAGAAAUAUUUUAAUAAAUAAAAAAAUUGGUGAGAUCACAAUUAUUCUGAUUUGUGUUUUUUGUUGUUUUUUCUUUUUAUACUUAGUUGUUAUAAGAUAUUUUUUAUGUUGUCAUCUUUAUUGACUUAUCAACUUGUAUGAUGUUUAUGUUUAUUUUGGNNNNNNNNNNNNNNNNNNNNNNNNNNNNNNNNNNNNNNNNNNNNNNNNNNNNNNNNNNNNNNNNNNNNNNNNNNNNNNNNUAUAAUUUUUCAGUUUUAGAUUUACCUUUGUUGUUUGCCGCAUGAAAAUUCAUUUUCUCGUAUUCACCAAAGUCUCUGUAAAUGUAGACAUAAUUUUAUGUAAACUAAUGACAUUGUAUUUGAUUACCAUGACUAAAAUAAUAACCUUUGCAUGAAAUUUCACCCUCCAAACUCUUGUUUCACUUGAAAAUCCAACAUCCAAACGCAUGGAUUUACCACUUCCAUGAUAAUUUUUUAUCAUAUCUUGAUCACUUGUCGUUAAUAACAUACAAUUAAAACACAAACAACCACCAUUAUGACGGAUUACUUACUUAUCUGUUAGUACCAAAACCCGACUGCAAAUAUAACCUUUUCUUAAAAUGGAUGCAUAAUAGAAGGAAUUUAUUUAUUGGACCGGCGUUAUAUGCAAGUCCUGGUCAUAUUCAUGUAUUUGUCUCUACCAUAAACGGCUUCGAAACUGACAAAAAUUUCUGAGGACAUGGCAUGGCCAAUGAAUGGCUUGCGAGGCUGUGGCCGUGGAUUACACUUCUACAUGGCGGGUACCAAAAUCCUACGGCCAUGGCCAUGGCAGCUCACCUCCAUUUUAAACUUACUGUUUUAGACUUUAACCAUAACAGCAUUAUCAUUUGUUAUCAACGAAUUUAAUCAUUCGUCUCUCCAAGAGUCAUAAUUAGAAGUUGUCUAACACAAAAAAAAAA